UAAAAAAAACUUAAAUUUCAAUUCAAGCUUCCUAGUAAUGGAACGAAAAUUGAAGUUAUUUGGUGCUAUGAUCCUGUUAUUGGUGCUCUUUUCUACUGAGUUGAGUCCAAAAGUGGUCGGAGAAGCCGAGGUGAGCGUUAGCUUGAAAUGCUUUGGCGAGUUUACGACCCUUGAUGAUUGCAAAGCCACUUGCAAGAAAGAGGACUCUGGUUUAGCGACUCAAAGCAAACUCCAUCCGGGGAAAUGCUGCUGCUUCAAACUCUUCCAUAUAUAAGUAAAAAUAAAAUAAAAUAAUAUUAUGGAUUUUAAAAAUAUCAUGAUUUAAUGAUUGUCAGCAACGUAUUGUAUUAUAUGAUUCUCAUGAGGGUCGAACAUAUAUAUAAAUAAAUAAAUAAUAUUUCUUGGUUUAA
Long non-coding RNA from Ipomoea nil (Japanese morning glory), 410 nucleotides. RefSeq lists it as uncharacterized. NCBI's taxonomy places the organism in Eukaryota, Viridiplantae, Streptophyta, Magnoliopsida, Solanales, Convolvulaceae. The transcript has 2 exons. The record is from RefSeq and is a predicted model, not a curated record.